RNAcentral lists this ribosomal RNA (431 nucleotides) under Amphistegina lobifera. Its description in RNAcentral is "partial 18S ribosomal RNA". It matches the Rfam family "Eukaryotic small subunit ribosomal RNA", at positions 1317 to 1787 of the family's 1831-position model. The record is from RNAcentral. Lineage: Eukaryota; Foraminifera; Rotaliida; Amphisteginidae.
AGUACGGAGCUAUGAACGAACGAGAUCGAGACCCGUGGUUGCGUGUGUUUGAAUUCGGUAUUACUACGGGGAUCGCGUAUUACUCCACGGUACGAUCGAAAGACUCGGCAAUAACAGGUCUGUGAUGCCCUCAGAUGUUCUAGGCUGCACACGUGCUACAGUGUGGUUCUGUUCAUAUGUGUAUGCGUAGACUUGAGAUCCCCCGCACCGAGUCAUAAUUGGUCACACGGUUGGGCUCACCGAUUGUCAAUUAUUCGGUAUCUUAACUAGGAAUGCCUCGUACUGGGUCGGUUCAACGAGACCCCCUGGAAUCCGUCCCUGCCCUUUGUACACACCGCCCGUCGCUCUUACCGAUGGGCGUGGUUUUUAGUUGCGAUGAAUAUUCUACGAAUGUGACUCGUUGCUCGGAACCACGCCUAAAGGAAAGAGAA